Molecule: ribosomal RNA, 400 nt
Filed under: phytoplankton environmental sample
Lineage: Eukaryota
Description: partial small subunit ribosomal RNA
Rfam family: Eukaryotic small subunit ribosomal RNA
Source: RNAcentral
AGCUCCAAUAGCGUAUAUUAAAGUUGUUGCAGUUAAAAAGCUCGUAGUUGGAUUUCUGGUAGGAGCGACCGUGCCGAACUUGAUUGUUCGUGUAUUGUGUUGUCUUCAGCCAUCCUCGUGGAGAACUUUUCCGGCAUUAAUUUGUCGGGAUUGGGACCCGCGUCGUUUACUGUGAAAAAAUUAGAGUGUUUAAAGCAGGCAAUCGCUUGAAUACAUUAGCAUGGAAUAAUAAGAUAGGACUUUGGUACUAUUUUGUUGGUUUGCAUACCAAAUUAAUGAUCAACAGGAACAGUUUGAGGAUAUUCGUAUGAACAUGUCAGAGGUGAAAUUCUUGGAUUUUGAUCAGACGAACUACUGCGAAAGCAUUUAUCAAGGAUGUUUUCAUUAAUCAAGAACGAAA